This 3323-nucleotide long non-coding RNA is filed under the name Volvox carteri. Its description in RNAcentral is "long non-coding RNA (VCAR_LNC002763)". The record is from RNAcentral. Lineage: Eukaryota; Viridiplantae; Chlorophyta; Chlorophyceae; Chlamydomonadales; Volvocaceae.
AUCUCCAUGCCGAGGUAGUAGCGCGCCUCUCCAAGGUCUCGUACAGCGAAGCAACCAGCUAUGGCCGCCUUGGCGGCCGCAACCAACUGCGGGUUGUCCGCCGCCACCAGCAUGUCAUCAACGUGCACGAGCACAUCGAUUGAGCCAUCGGACCCCCGCUUGACGAAUAGCGCGGGGUCGGACGCAGACGGUUCAUAGCCUAGCUUGCCCAGCUCCGCUGCUAGCUUCUCGUACCAGCAACGUGGGGCUUGCUUGAGGCCGUAAACAGACUUUAACAGCCGGCACGCCUGUGACGGGUCGCCGUUGCUGUAACCUGGGGGCUGUCGCAUCCACAGCUCCUCUGCCAGGUCACCGUUCAAGAAGGCCGUCUUGACGUCCAUCUGAUGGACCGUCAUACCUCUGGCAGCUGCCACAGCUAGAAGUGCCCGCAGGGAGGCUGCACGCGUAGUGGGCGCAAACAGCUCUCCAUAGUCUAUGCCCGCUCGCUGUUCAAAGCCUUUCACCACUAAACGCGACUUGUAGCGUACCUCACCGCCUGGCUCCUGUUUGAUUUUGUAGACCCAGCGGCAGUCCAGGAUGCGUGCACCGGGUGGCGGCGUGCCCAACUCCCAGGUCUUGUUGGAGAGCUGCGACAGAAUCUCGUCAUCCAUCGAAGUUCUCCACUUGUCCGCUUGCGGACUCGCCACCGCUUCCUCAUAACUGCGCGGCUCCUGCACCGUGCUGUUGCCUCCGCCGCCCGCAUUGCCGUCGCCUGCCUCAGCAUAAUUUGUGCUUCCCGACGCUUUGUUAAGCAGCGGUGGACUGCCCAAAUCUCCGCCGCCGCCGCUGCUGUUGUUGGCUGGGCAGACCGUGGCCAGCGGCGGGUGAAGAGGUUGCCGUUGGCUGCGUGUGUUGGGGCGGGGGGGGGGCGCUGGGUUCACUGGGGGCGAUGCAACCACUGGAGGUGGCGGUGUGGCGGGCUGUGUAGAGCCGCCGACGGGGUCGCCGCUGCCAGGACGGGCGGGGCCAGCGCCGAAGGAGGUGCCCGCCCGUUGAGACGCCAGGCCGCGGAGGUCAUCAUCGAAGGUGACGUCGCUGCUAACAGUCACCUUACCGUCGACGAGGACGCGGUGGGCGGCCGUGCCGCGCUCCGGUCCUAGGUAGGUUCCCGCCUCUGCGCGGGGACCGAGCUUAACCUGCUGGCUGGUUGGGACGCGGACGUAUGCCAGGCAGCCGAAUGUGUGCAGGUGACUGACGUCGGGGGUGACGACAUGAUAAGUUGCCCACGGCGUAGCCUCCCGGCCCUGAGAGGGGGAAACAUUGCGCAGGAGGUUGGCGUAUAGCACAGCUUCCGACCAAAAGCUGUCCGGGAGCGCGGCAUCGUACAGCAUAGCCUGCACACGGUCGAGGAGCGUGCGAUUGAGUGCGAUUGAGCCGCUCCGCUGCACCGUUCUGCUCCGGAGUGUACGGCGCCGAGUGGGUAUGCGCAGUGCCGCGCUGGUGUAGCCACUGUGCCAGCUGCUCGGCGACAAACUCGCCACCGUUAUCACUAUGAAGGGUGCGGACCCGUGCACCGUUCGGGUUGCGAGCCUCCAGCUGUGUCACCAUGUCCUGCAGCGCUUCGCCCACUUGGUUCUUGCUAACCAGUGUGCGAACGGCAGACAGACCGGAGGCACCGUCCAGCAGCGUUAGCAAGUAGCGAGCCCCUCCUCGGCCCGUGGUCGGCAUGGGCCCGCACAGGUCAGAGUGUACGACCUCCAGGACAUGCUGAGGCCGGUUACCGCGGCUGACGUGAGCUGUAGCUGUAGUCUUCGCUGUGACACAGGCUUCGCAGACACCCUCUGCCGCCUGACGCAGCGCCGCGGGAGUGACCCGUGGUCCAUGUACCAGCUGCUUGGUGAUAAGCUGCUCCAACGCCCGGUAACCAAGGUGGCCGAACUGGCGGUGCAGGCGCUGUGCUGCUGCGAGUUCGGCGGCUGAGCACUCAAGGGCGCCCAGCUGCCCUUGGCCGUUGCUGGCGCCGUUCGACUGGUCUCCGCCGGUGUCACUGCUGCCGGCGCCGUUCGGCUGGUCCCCGCCGGCGUCACUGCUGCUGGCGCCGGCGGCAAAUCUGCUAGCGCUGGUACCUCCGCCGGCUCUGUCUUCCGCAGCGCCGAGCGCACUGACGGCGCGUUUGGUCGGCGCCGCAUGCACGGGGCACGGGGCACGGGGCACGAUGCACGGGGCUCAUAACCUGUUGGUGAGACGCUAUCUCACAGGGACCUAGCAGACACGACUAAGGAGACAUUAGCCGUUACACGUAUUCGGGAAAUCCGCGACCUACCACCGAAAGCCCCUUUGCCUAGGCGUAAACGUGUGAAUCUGAGGUACUGUUACCGAUAAACAACAGAGACUUAUAAAGGCUUGGANNNNNNNNNNNNNNNNNNNNNNNNNNNNNNNNNNNNNNNNNNNNNNNNNNGCCGCCCGCAUUGCCGUCGCCUGCCUCAGCAUAAUUUGUGCUUCCCGACGCUUUGUUAAGCAGCGGUGGACUGCCCAAAUCUCCGCCGCCGCCGCUGCUGUUGUUGGCUGGGCAGACCGUGGCCAGCGGCGGGUGAAGAGGUUGCCGUUGGCUGCGUGUGUUGGGGCGGGGGGGGGGCGCUGGGUUCACUGGGGGCGAUGCAACCACUGGAGGUGGCGGUGUGGCGGGCUGUGUAGAGCCGCCGACGGGGUCGCCGCUGCCAGGACGGGCGGGGCCAGCGCCGAAGGAGGUGCCCGCCCGUUGAGACGCCAGGCCGCGGAGGUCAUCAUCGAAGGUGACGUCGCUGCUAACAGUCACCUUACCGUCGACGAGGACGCGGUGGGCGGCCGUGCCGCGCUCCGGUCCUAGGUAGGUUCCCGCCUCUGCGCGGGGACCGAGCUUAACCUGCUGGCUGGUUGGGACGCGGACGUAUGCCAGGCAGCCGAAUGUGUGCAGGUGACUGACGUCGGGGGUGACGACAUGAUAAGUUGCCCACGGCGUAGCCUCCCGGCCCUGAGAGGGGGAAACAUUGCGCAGGAGGUUGGCGUAUAGCACAGCUUCCGACCAAAAGCUGUCCGGGAGCGCGGCAUCGUACAGCAUAGCCUGCACACGGUCGAGGAGCGUGCGAUUGAGCCGCUCCGCUGCACCGUUCUGCUCCGGAGUGUACGGCGCCGAGUGGGUAUGCGCAGUGCCGCGCUGGUGUAGCCACUGUGCCAGCUGCUCGGCGACAAACUCGCCACCGUUAUCACUAUGAAGGGUGCGGACCCGUGCACCGUUCGGGUUGCGAGCCUCCAGCUGUGUCACCAUGUCCUGCAGCGCUUCGCCCACUUGGUUCUUGCUAACCAGU